Molecule: ribosomal RNA, 253 nt
Filed under: uncultured bacterium
Lineage: Bacteria
Description: partial 16S ribosomal RNA
Rfam family: Bacterial small subunit ribosomal RNA
Source: RNAcentral
UACAGAGGGGGCCAGCGUUAUUCGGAAUUAUUGGGCGUAAAGGGCGCGUAGGCGGCCAUGCGUGUCUUCCGUGAAAUCCCUCGGCUUAACUGAGGACGUGCGGAAGAAACUGCAAGGCUUGAGUCCGGGAGAGGGGGGUGGAAUUCCCAGUGUAGCGGUGAAAUGCGUAGAUAUUGGGAGGAACACCAGUGGCGAAGGCGGCUCACUGGCCCGGUACUGACGCUGAGGUGCGAAAGCGUGGGGAGCAAACAGG